UGANCCUGCNGGACCUGACUGCUAUCGGAUUGAUACUAAGCCAUGCGAGUCAUUGUAGUAAUACAAGGCAGACGGCUCAGUAACGCGUAGUCAACCUACCCUAUGGACGGGGAUAACCUCGGGAAACUGAGAAUAAUACCCGAUAGAACAUUAUGCCUGGAAUGGUUUAUGUUUCAAAUAAUUUAUUGCCGUAGGAUGGGACUGCGGCCUAUCAGUUUGUUGGUGAGGUAAUGGCCCACCAAGACUAUUACAGGUACGGGCUCUGAGAGGAGUAGCCCGGAGAUGGGUACUGAGACACGGACCCAGGCCCUAUGGGGCGCAGCAGGCGAGAAAACUUUGCAAUGUGCGAAAGCACGACAAGGUUAAUCCGAGUGGUUUCUGCUAAAGGAACCUUUUGUCAGUCCUAGAAACACUGGUGAAUAAGGGGUGGGCAAGUUCUGGUGUCAGCCGCCGCGGUAAAACCAGCACCUCAAGUGGUCAGGAUGAUUAUUGGGCCUAAAGCAUCCGUAGCCUGCUUUGUAAGUUUUCGGUUAAAUCCAUACGCUCAACGUAUGGGCUGCCGGGAAUACUGCAAAGCUAGGGAGUGGGAGAGGUAGACGGUACUCGGUAGGAAGGGGUAAAAUCCUUUGAUCUAUUGAUGACCACCUGUGGCGAAGGCGGUCUACCAGAACACGUCCGACGGUGAGGGAUGAAAGCUGGGGGAGCAAACCGGAUUAGAUACCCGGGUAGUCCCAGCUGUAAACUAUGCAAACUCAGUGAUGCAUUGGCUUGAUGCCAAUGCAGUGCUGCAGGGAAGCCGUUAAGUUUGCCGCCUGGGAAGUACGUACGCAAGUAUGAAACUUAAAGGAAUUGGCGGG
This 857-nucleotide ribosomal RNA is filed under the name uncultured archaeon. Its description in RNAcentral is "bacterial SSU rRNA". It matches the Rfam family "Archaeal small subunit ribosomal RNA", at positions 9 to 872 of the family's 1478-position model. The record is from RNAcentral.